CUGCUAUCUAAUAUACCAAAACUAAUCUCAAAUUUUGAGUGAACAAAUAUACAAAAUCUCAAAUUUUGAGUGAACAAAAAUUAAGUAUGACUAACGAAUAUUUAAUGAGUGUUUAUGUAAUACAAUUCCAAGAUCAACAUUUCAGUCAUCCCAAAGAUAUAUCUCAAACAUAUACAAUAUGCAGUAAGAAAAUUACAUAAGUCUUGAGAGAAACUAAACAUAUCUAAACAAACGCAUUAGUCGAGUUUUAACCGAUUUCAACUCAAUAAAGAUCUAAAUUUAUUAAUAAUUUUUAUCAUAUCAAACCCAAAAUAUGUAUCAACA
RNAcentral lists this long non-coding RNA (324 nucleotides) under Solanum tuberosum (potato). RNAcentral describes it as "long non-coding RNA (STUB_LNC007355)". The record is from RNAcentral. Lineage: Eukaryota; Viridiplantae; Streptophyta; Magnoliopsida; Solanales; Solanaceae.